GUGCCAAUGGUGUAGUGGUAACAUGUAACCCUUCCAAGGUUGAGCUAGGGGUUCGAUUCCCCUUUGGCGCA
RNAcentral lists this transfer RNA (71 nucleotides) under archaeon. RNAcentral's name for it is "tRNA-Gly". It matches the Rfam family "tRNA". Rfam says of the family: Transfer RNA (tRNA) molecules are approximately 80 nucleotides in length. Their secondary structure includes four short double-helical elements and three loops (D, anti-codon, and T loops). The record is from RNAcentral.